This 329-nucleotide ribosomal RNA is filed under the name uncultured eukaryote. RNAcentral describes it as "partial 18S ribosomal RNA". It matches the Rfam family "Eukaryotic small subunit ribosomal RNA", at positions 1470 to 1796 of the family's 1831-position model. The record is from RNAcentral.
CCCUUAGAUGUUCUGGGCCGCACGCGCGCUACACUGAUCAGUGCAACAAGCAUCCGUCCUUGGCCGACAGGCCCGGGCAAUCUUUGAACGCUGAUCGUGAUGGGGAUAGACUUUUGCAAUUUUUGGUCUUCAACGAGGAAUUCCUAGUAAACGCAAGUCAUCAGCUUGCAUUGAUUACGUCCCUGCCCUUUGUACACACCGCCCGUCGCACCUACCGAUUGAAUGGUCCGGUGAAUCUUUAGGACUGUGGCUGAGGCCUUGCCUUGUGCGGGUCUGGCCGUGGGAAUUUAGUUAAACCUUACCAUUUAGAGGAAGGUGAAGUCGUAACA